AACGAACGCUGGCGGCAGGCUUAACACAUGCAAGUCGAACGAGAUCUUCGGAUCUAGUGGCAGACGGGUGAGGAACACGUGGGAACAUCCCUUUCAGUUCGGAAUAACGUUGGGAAACUAACGCUAAUACCGGAUACGUCCAUCGGGAGAAAGAUUUAUCGCUGAAAGAUUGGCCCGCGUCUGAUUAGCUAGUUGGUGGGGUAAAGGCUCACCAAGGCGACGAUCCGUAACUGGUCUGAGAGGAUGAUCAGUCACACUGGAACUGAGACACGGUCCAGACUCCUACGGGAGGCAGCAGUGGGGAAUAUUGGACAAUGGGCGAAAGCCUGAUCCAGCCAUGCCGCGUGUGUGAAGAAGGUCUUCGGAUUGUAAAGCACUUUAAGUCGGGAGGAAGGGCUGUAGGUUAAUACCUUGCAGCCUUGACGUUACCGACAGAAUAAGCACCGGCUAACUUCGUGCCAGCAGCCGCCGUAA
This 474-nucleotide ribosomal RNA is filed under the name uncultured bacterium. RNAcentral describes it as "partial 16S ribosomal RNA". It matches the Rfam family "Bacterial small subunit ribosomal RNA", at positions 29 to 523 of the family's 1533-position model. The record is from RNAcentral.